Molecule: long non-coding RNA, 408 nt
Organism: Mugil cephalus (flathead mullet)
Lineage: Eukaryota; Metazoa; Chordata; Actinopteri; Mugiliformes; Mugilidae
Exons: 3
Source: RefSeq, a predicted model, not a curated record
GUGGACUGUGUCAUUUUAAAAAGUUGACUCUGACAGAUGGGACUAUGUUCAACACUGAAUGGACGAUUUGCCCAAAGGAGAAAACAGAGGGGGUGAAGUCUCUCCAACAAAGAUAUUACAAGAAGUGAGCAGCGAGGUGAAGAGGCGCUGACCCACUUCAAUAAUGAGGAACAAUGAGAUCCAUUCAAAAGCAAGCAAGGGAAGGGAUUUGGCCAUCCCUGUGUUAGUCCUGAGGUGGACACGAGGUGUUGACCUGGCCUCCAAAUUCACUAAAUCCCAAACUCAUCAAGAAUCUAUGGGAUGCACUGGAACAAACCUGAUGCACAGAGGGCCCUCCCCACAAGCUAUAGGACCCAAAGGCCCCCACUAACAACAUACUGUUUCCAGACAUCACAGGACACCCUCAGA